AUGAACGCUGGCGGCAGGCUUAAUACAUGCAAGUCGAACGGUAACAUGAGAGUAGCAAUACUUUUGAUGACGAGUGGCGCACGGGUGCGUAACGCGUAUGCAACCUACCUGUAAUUGGGACAUAACGUUGAGAAAUUAGCGCUAAUAUCCCAUGUGAAUAUGAGGAGGCAUCUUUUUAUAUUUAAAGAUUUAUUGAUUACGGAUGGGCAUGCGUAUCAUUAGCUAGUUGGUAGGGUAACGGCUUACCAAGGCGACGAUGAUUAGGGGUUCUGAGAGGAACAUCCCCCACACUGGAACUGAGACACGGUCCAGACUCCUACGGGAGGCAGCAGUAGGGAAUAUUGGGCAAUGGAGGCAACUCUGACCCAGCCAUGCCGCGUGCAGGAAGACGGUCCUAUGGAUUGUAAACUGCUUUUAUUAUAGAGUAACCGGAGGUACGUGUACCUCCCUGCAAGUAUAUGAUGAAUAAGCAUCGGCUAACUCCGUGCCAGCAGCCGCGGUAAUACGGAGGAUGCGAGCGUUAUCCGGGUUUAUUGGGUUUAAAGGGUGCGCAGGCUGAUCGGUAAGUCAAUGGUGAAAUACUACUGCUUAACAGUAGCCGUGCCAAUGAUACUGCCGGACUAGAGUGUAAGAGGUGUAACUGGAAUGUGAUGUGUAGCGGUGAAAUGCUUAGAUAUGUCACAGAACGCCAAUCGUGAAGACAGGUUACAAACUUACAACUGACGCUCAUGCACGAAAGCGUGGGGAUCAAACAGGAUUAGAUACCCUGGUAGUCCACGCUGUAAACGAUGAUCACUCGUUGUUGGAUAGCAAUAUUCAGUGGCUAAGCGAAAGCGAUAAGUGAUCCACCUGGGGAGUACGAUCGCAAGGUUG
This 873-nucleotide ribosomal RNA is filed under the name uncultured anaerobic bacterium. RNAcentral's name for it is "bacterial SSU rRNA". It matches the Rfam family "Bacterial small subunit ribosomal RNA", at positions 29 to 896 of the family's 1533-position model. The record is from RNAcentral.